This 842-nucleotide long non-coding RNA is filed under the name Dasypus novemcinctus (nine-banded armadillo). RNAcentral describes it as "lncRNA (ENSDNOG00000051234.1)". The record is from RNAcentral. Lineage: Eukaryota; Metazoa; Chordata; Mammalia; Cingulata; Dasypodidae.
CUCUUGUUUUCAUUUACUCAAACUUCAUUUUUUUCCCUUUUGCGUUUUUAUUUUGUUUUUUUUUGUUGCCUAUGAGCAGUCUCAUCUUCUACAGAAAGCUGAGUAAAGGACUUCUGCCUUUUACCACACAUGUGUAUUUAUAAUGUACUGUGCUUAAGUGGGAAGAAUUCAGAGAGAAAAUUAAGCAAAGACAGUUUCUAAUAACUGUGAAGGAAAACGAAGGGCUAAAAGGUUUCCGUCAGAAGAAAUGCUGGUCCUUGGCUGCCUUCCAAGCACAUGAACUCCAGUCAGCAUUGUGUUUAGAAGCCAGGUACCACUUGAAGGGCACAAGAUACAGAACAAGUUAUGGAGAGGAGCCUAACACAGUCCAGCUACAGGGAAGAACUGGCCCAUCAACAAAAUAUUAAAAUUUGGUGGACAAGGUCACACCAAUUGUAGUUUACCACGAUUGGUGGUAAUAGUCUGAUGAUAUUAUCUCAUAAUCUGUAACAAAUGUUCCACCAAGGUGUGGAGUUGUACUGGAAAUCUACACCUCUGUAUGAUUGUUUGGCAAGUCCACAAUAUCUGUAACAAAAAUAUAUUUUAAAAAUACAGUAUGGGUUGGGAAAAAUACAGCAAAUAUAAGAUAAGGACUAUAGUUGGUAGUAAUAUUUUGAUGAUGCUCUUGUAGUUCGUAACAAAUGUUUCACACCAAUGCAAAAAGUUGGUGGAGGGGUGAUGUAUGAGACCCCUGUGUGAUGUUAUGUAUGUUUAUUUUGUAAGUUCACAAUCUUUACACUUAUUGUUUAUGUCAUGUAUGAGUAAUAUACUUCAAUAAAAAUUUUUUUAAAAAUUAGUAGACA